AAAGUCGUAACAAGGUUUCCGUAGGUGAACCUGCGGAAGGAUCAUUACAAACUGAUUGGGGGAGAGUGCGGUAUUGAGAUUUUGAAUUUGAAUAGAGUUCAGGAUUUUGAAAGCACUUUCUAUAUGACCACUCCUGAAAGGGAGCUGGACGCAUGCCCGCAAGCCCGCCUGUGCAUGGCAUGUAAAUUGACUUUAAAUCUUGACAUUUUCAUCUUUUUAAUAAUUAAAACUUUUAACAAUGGAUCUCUUGGCUCUU
RNAcentral lists this unclassified non-coding RNA (256 nucleotides) under Basidiomycota sp. Its description in RNAcentral is "partial contains small subunit ribosomal RNA, internal transcribed spacer 1, and 5.8S ribosomal RNA". The stretch from base 1 to 47 matches the Rfam family "Eukaryotic small subunit ribosomal RNA", at positions 1785 to 1831 of the family's 1831-position model. Lineage: Eukaryota; Fungi; Basidiomycota. The record is from RNAcentral.